GAGGGGAGACCAGGCCUCAAAGCCUCCAUCCCAGUGAUGCCCUCCAUCCAGCAAGGCUGCCCCUCCUAAACCUCCCCACACAGACCUCAGAUGUGGUGCUACAGAAAGUCCUGAGUUUUCCAAGCAUCUUGAACUUGAGACUGAGCUCAGCUGCCCCAAAGCAGGAACUCCAGUGUCCAGCCCCAGACCCAUGGAUGCCAUCUUCGCAGGGAUCUUGGGACUCUGAACGCCAGCUUUGGGGAAAGUGUCGAGGCACUGGCUGACUUCUGCCACCUGUGAGGGAGGAAACAUUCUCAUUUCCACGAGGAUGAAGAAACCUAGUCCCAGGAGAAUCAAGCUCCUGCUGUGUGCUUUGCCAGGCAACCAAGUCUCCAGGGAACGGCAGGCAGCAGGGUGAGGUGUCAUGGAGUCAUUGCUAGGUCCUGCUACCGAGUGCAAGAACAGCUGAAGAGGGCCCGGGAUGAGAUCCCCGUGGCCAGGUUCUCUGCCUGUGCAGAACAGCAAGCACAUACUGCGAAAAGAAGAAACAGAAGA
This is a long non-coding RNA of Psammomys obesus (fat sand rat), 534 nucleotides long. RefSeq lists it as uncharacterized. The transcript has 4 exons. Lineage: Eukaryota; Metazoa; Chordata; Mammalia; Rodentia; Muridae. The record is from RefSeq and is a predicted model, not a curated record.